AUUACCUAGAGAUCUUGUUAAAAUACAGAUUCUGAUUCGGAGUUCUGGGGUGGAACCAGAGAGUCUGUAUUUCUAACAAGCUCCUAGAUGAUGCUAC
RNAcentral lists this microRNA precursor (97 nucleotides) under Equus asinus (donkey). RNAcentral describes it as "mir-544 microRNA precursor family". It matches the Rfam family "mir-544 microRNA precursor family". Lineage: Eukaryota; Metazoa; Chordata; Mammalia; Perissodactyla; Equidae. The record is from Rfam by way of RNAcentral.